This 422-nucleotide ribosomal RNA is filed under the name uncultured bacterium. RNAcentral describes it as "bacterial SSU rRNA". It matches the Rfam family "Bacterial small subunit ribosomal RNA", at positions 917 to 1341 of the family's 1533-position model. The record is from RNAcentral.
GGGCCCGCACAAGCGGUGGAGCAUGUGGUUUAAUUCGAUGAUACGCGAGGAACCUUACCAGGGCUUAAAUGGGAGAUGACAGGGGCAGAGACGCCCUUUUCUUCGGACAUCUUUCAAGGUGCUGCAUGGUUGUCGUCAGCUCGUGCCGUGAGGUGUCAGGUUAAGUCCUAUAACGAGCGCAACCCCUACCGUUAGUUGCCAGCGAUUCAAGUCGGGGACUCUAACGGGACUGCCGGUGCAAACCGCGAGGAAGGUGGGGACGACGUCAAAUCAUCACGGCCCUUACGUCCUGGGCUACACACCGUGCUACAAUGGUCGGUACAGAGGGAAGCUACCCCGCAAGGGGAUGCGGAUCUAUAAAACCGAUCUCAGUUCGGAUCGGGGUCUGCAACUCGACCCCGUGAAGCUGGAAUCGCUAGUAA